AGAUUAAGUUAUUAAGGGCGCACGGUGGAUGCCUUGGCACUAGAAGCCGAUGAAGGACGUUACUAACGACGAUAUGCUUUGGGGAGCUGUAAGUAAGCUUUGAUCCAGAGAUUUCCGAAUGGGGAAACCCAGCAUGAGUUAUGUCAUGUUAUCGAUAUGUGAAUACAUAGCAUAUCAGAAGGCACACCCGGAGAACUGAAACAUCUUAGUACCCGGAGGAAGAGAAAGAAAAUUCGAUUCCCUUAGUAGCGGCGAGCGAAACGGGAAGAGCCCAAACCAACAAGCUUGCUUGUUGGGGUUGUAGGACACUCUAUACGGAGUUACAAAGGACGACAUUAGACGAAUCAUCUGGAAAGAUGAAUCAAAGAAGGUAAUAAUCCUGUAGUCGAAAAUGUUGUCUCUCUUGAGUGGAUCCUGAGUACGACGGAGCACGUGAAAUUCCGUCGGAAUCUGGGAGGACCAUCUCCUAAGGCUAAAUACUCUCUAGUGACCGAUAGUGAACCAGUACCGUGAGGGAAAGGUGAAAAGCACCCCGGAAGGGGAGUGAAAUAGAACCUGAAACCGUGUGCUUACAAGUAGUCAGAGCCCGUUAAUGGGUGAUGGCGUGCCUUUUGUAGAAUGAACCGGCGAGUUACGAUUUGAUGCAAGGUUAAGCAGUAAAUGUGGAGCCGUAGCGAAAGCGAGUCUGAAUAGGGCGUUUAGUAUUUGGUCGUAGACCCGAAACCAGGUGAUCUACCCUUGGUCAGGUUGAAGUUCAGGUAACACUGAAUGGAGGACCGAACCGACUUACGUUGAAAAGUGAGCGGAUGAACUGAGGGUAGCGGAGAAAUUCCAAUCGAACCUGGAGAUAGCUGGUUCUCUCCGAAAUAGCUUUAGGGCUAGCCUCAAGUGAUGAUUAUUGGAGGUAGAGCACUGUUUGGACGAGGGGCCCCUCUCGGGUUACCGAAUUCAGACAAACUCCGAAUGCCAAUUAAUUUAACUUGGGAGUCAGAACAUGGGUGAUAAGGUCCGUGUUCGAAAGGGAAACAGCCCAGACCACCAGCUAAGGUCCCAAAAUAUAUGUUAAGUGGAAAAGGAUGUGGCGUUGCCCAGACAACUAGGAUGUUGGCUUAGAAGCAGCCAUCAUUUAAAGAGUGCGUAAUAGCUCACUAGUCGAGUGACACUGCGCCGAAAAUGUACCGGGGCUAAACAUAUUACCGAAGCUGUGGAUUGUCCUUUGGACAAUGGUAGGAGAGCGUUCUAAGGGCGUUGAAGCAUGAUCGCAAGGACAUGUGGAGCGCUUAGAAGUGAGAAUGCCGGUGUGAGUAGCGAAAGACGGGUGAGAAUCCCGUCCACCGAUUGACUAAGGUUUCCAGAGGAAGGCUCGUCCGCUCUGGGUUAGUCGGGUCCUAAGCUGAGGCCGACAGGCGUAGGCGAUGGAUAACAGGUUGAUAUUCCUGUACCACCUAUAAUCGUUUUAAUCGAUGGGGGGACGCAGUAGGAUAGGCGAAGCGUGCGAUUGGAUUGCACGUCUAAGCAGUAAGGCUGAGUAUUAGGCAAAUCCGGUACUCGUUAAGGCUGAGCUGUGAUGGGGAGAAGACAUUGUGUCUUCGAGUCGUUGAUUUCACACUGCCGAGAAAAGCCUCUAGAUAGAAAAUAGGUGCCCGUACCGCAAACCGACACAGGUAGUCAAGAUGAGAAUUCUAAGGUGAGCGAGCGAACUCUCGUUAAGGAACUCGGCAAAAUGACCCCGUAACUUCGGGAGAAGGGGUGCUCUUUAGGGUUAACGCCCAGAAGAGCCGCAGUGAAUAGGCCCAAGCGACUGUUUAUCAAAAACACAGGUCUCUGCUAAACCGUAAGGUGAUGUAUAGGGGCUGACGCCUGCCCGGUGCUGGAAGGUUAAGAGGAGUGGUUAGCUUCUGCGAAGCUACGAAUCGAAGCCCCAGUAAACGGCGGCCGUAACUAUAACGGUCCUAAGGUAGCGAAAUUCCUUGUCGGGUAAGUUCCGACCCGCACGAAAGGCGUAACGAUUUGGGCACUGUCUCAACGAGAGACUCGGUGAAAUCAUAGUACCUGUGAAGAUGCAGGUUACCCGCGACAGGACGGAAAGACCCCGUGGAGCUUUACUGUAGCCUGAUAUUGAAAUUCGGCACAGCUUGUACAGGAUAGGUAGGAGCCUUUGAAACGUGAGCGCUAGCUUACGUGGAGGCGCUGGUGGGAUACUACCCUAGCUGUGUUGGCUUUCUAACCCGCACCACUUAUCGUGGUGGGAGACAGUGUCAGGCGGGCAGUUUGACUGGGGCGGUCGCCUCCUAAAAGGUAACGGAGGCGCUCAAAGGUUCCCUCAGAAUGGUUGGAAAUCAUUCAUAGAGUGUAAAGGCAUAAGGGAGCUUGACUGCGAGACCUACAAGUCGAGCAGGGUCGAAAGACGGACUUAGUGAUCCGGUGGUUCCGCAUGGAAGGGCCAUCGCUCAACGGAUAAAAGCUACCCCGGGGAUAACAGGCUUAUCUCCCCCAAGAGUUCACAUCGACGGGGAGGUUUGGCACCUCGAUGUCGGCUCAUCGCAUCCUGGGGCUGUAGUCGGUCCCAAGGGUUGGGCUGUUCGCCCAUUAAAGCGGUACGCGAGCUGGGUUCAGAACGUCGUGAGACAGUUCGGUCCCUAUCCGUCGUGGGCGUAGGAAAUUUGAGAGGAGCUGUCCUUAGUACGAGAGGACCGGGAUGGACAUACCUCUGGUGUACCAGUUGUCGUGCCAACGGCAUAGCUGGGUAGCUAUGUGUGGACGGGAUAAGUGCUGAAAGCAUCUAAGCAUGAAGCCCCCCUCAAGAUGAGAUUUCCCAACUUCGGUUAUAAGAUCCCUCAAAGAUGAUGAGGUUAAUAGGUUCGAGGUGGAAGCAUGGUGACAUGUGGAGCUGACGAAUACUAAUCGAUCGAAGACUUAAUCAAAUU
This 2927-nucleotide ribosomal RNA is filed under the name Staphylococcus aureus. Its description in RNAcentral is "23S ribosomal RNA". It matches the Rfam family "Bacterial large subunit ribosomal RNA". The record is from RNAcentral. Lineage: Bacteria; Bacillati; Bacillota; Bacilli; Caryophanales; Staphylococcaceae.